GUAAGGAAUAUUGGACAAUGGUCGAAAGACUGAUCCAGCCAUGCCGCGUGCAGGAUGAAGGAGCUCAGCUCUGUAAACUGCUUUUGUUCGGGAAAAAACCCCUGCAUUCUUGCGGGGCUGAUUGUACUGAAAGAAUAAGGGACGGCUAACUUCGUGCCAGCAGCCGCGGUAAUACGAAGGUCCCAAGCGUUAUCCGGAUUUAUUGGGUUUAAAGGGUGCGUAGGCGGGUUAUUAAGUCAGUGGUGAAAGCUCCAUGCCUAACAUGGAAAUUGCCAUUGAUACUGAUGAUCUUGAGUACAUUUGAAGUGGGCGGAAUGUGUCAUGUAGCGGUGAAAUGCUUAGAUAUGACACAGAACACCGAUUGCGUAGGCAGCUCGCUAAACUGUAACUGACGCUGAGGCACGAAAGCGCGGGGAGCAAACAGGAUUAGAAACCCCUGUAGUCC
Molecule: ribosomal RNA, 445 nt
Filed under: uncultured bacterium
Lineage: Bacteria
Description: bacterial SSU rRNA
Rfam family: Bacterial small subunit ribosomal RNA
Source: RNAcentral